ACCUACGGGGGGCAGCAGUGGGGAAUAUUGGACAAUGGGGGCAACCCUGAUCCAGCAAUGCCGCGUGAGUGAUGAAGGCCUUAGGGUUGUAAAGCUCUUUUGCCAGGGAAGAUGAUGACUGUACCUGGAGAAUAAGCCCCGGCUAACUUCGUGCCAGCAGCCGCGGUAAUACGAAGGGGGCUAGCGUUGUUCGGAAUUACUGGGCGUAAAGGGCGCGUAGGCGGCCGUUUAAGUUAGGUGUGAAAGUCCUGGGCUCAACCUGGGGACUGCACUUAAUACUGGAUGGCUUGAAUUCGGGAGAGGAUAGCGGAAUUCCCAGUGUAGAGGUGAAAUUCGUAGAUAUUGGGAAGAACACCGGUGGCGAAGGCGGCUAUCUGGACCGACAUUGACGCUGAGGCGCGAAAGCGUGGGGAGCAAACAGGAUUAGAUACCCCUGUAC
RNAcentral lists this ribosomal RNA (439 nucleotides) under uncultured bacterium. RNAcentral's name for it is "bacterial SSU rRNA". It matches the Rfam family "Bacterial small subunit ribosomal RNA", at positions 337 to 793 of the family's 1533-position model. The record is from RNAcentral.